RNAcentral lists this ribosomal RNA (539 nucleotides) under uncultured Gammaproteobacteria bacterium. Its description in RNAcentral is "bacterial SSU rRNA". It matches the Rfam family "Bacterial small subunit ribosomal RNA", at positions 68 to 603 of the family's 1533-position model. The record is from RNAcentral. Lineage: Bacteria; Pseudomonadati; Pseudomonadota; Gammaproteobacteria.
GGCAGCGCGGGGCACACUGGCGGCGAGCGGCGAACGGGUGAGUAACACAUCGGAACGUACCCUGUUGUGGGGGAUAGCCCGGCGAAAGCCGGAUUAAUACCGCAUAAGACCUGAGGGUGAAAGCGGGGGACCGCAAGGCCUCGCGCGACAGGAGCGGCCGAUGGCGGAUUAGCUAGUUGGUGGGGUAAAGGCUCACCAAGGCGACGAUCCGUAGCUGGUCUGAGAGGAUGAUCAGCCACACUGGAACUGAGACACGGUCCAGACUCCUACGGGAGGCAGCAGUGGGGAAUUUUGGACAAUGGGGGCAACCCUGAUCCAGCCAUUCCGCGUGAGUGAAGAAGGCCUUCGGGUUGUAAAGCUCUUUCGGCAGGAACGAAACGGUGGGCUCUAACAUAGUCUGCUAAUGACGGUACCUGAAGAAGAAGCACCGGCUAACUACGUGCCAGCAGCCGCGGGUAAUACGUAGGGUGCGAGCGUUAAUCGGAAUUACUGGGCGUAAAGCGUGCGCAGGCGGUUUCGUAAGACAGAUGUGAAAUCCC